UUGCAUAUCAAAAAAGCGGAGGAAAAGAAACCAACAGGGAUUGCCUUAGUAACGGCGAGUGAAGCGGCAACAGCUCAAAUUUGAAAGCUGGCUCCUUUGGAGUCCGCGUUGUAAUUUGUAGAGGAUGAUUCGGCAAGGGCUCCCGCCUAAGUCUCCUGGAACGGAGCGUCAUAGAGGGUGAGAAUCCCGUAUGCGGUGGGCUGCCUAAGCCAUGUGAAUCUCCUUCGACGAGUCGAGUUGUUUGGGAAUGCAGCUCUAAAUGGGAGGUAAAUUUCUUCUAAAGCUAAAUACCGGCCAGAGACCGAUAGCGCACAAGUAGAGUGAUCGAAAGAUGAAAAGCACUUUGGAAAGAGAGUUAAAAAGUACGUGAAAUUGUUGAAAGGGAAGCGCUUGCAGCCAGACUUGUCCGCAGUUGCUCAGCCGGUCUCCUGACCGGUGUACUCUUCUGCGGCCAGGCCAGCAUCAGUUCGGGCGGUCGGAUAAAGACCUCGGGAAUGUAGCUCCUCUCGGGGAGUGUUAUAGCCCGGGGUGGAAUGCGGCCAGCCUGGACUGAGGAUCUCGCUUCGGCUAGGAUGCUGGCGUAAUGGCUGUAAGCGGCCCGUCUUACACCCACGGACCAAACU
RNAcentral lists this ribosomal RNA (623 nucleotides) under Botryosphaeria dothidea. RNAcentral's name for it is "partial large subunit ribosomal RNA". It matches the Rfam family "Eukaryotic large subunit ribosomal RNA", at positions 36 to 672 of the family's 3401-position model. The record is from RNAcentral. Lineage: Eukaryota; Fungi; Ascomycota; Dothideomycetes; Botryosphaeriales; Botryosphaeriaceae.